Long non-coding RNA from Pistacia vera, 674 nucleotides. RefSeq lists it as uncharacterized. The record is from RefSeq and is a predicted model, not a curated record. The transcript is spliced from 3 exons. Lineage: Eukaryota; Viridiplantae; Streptophyta; Magnoliopsida; Sapindales; Anacardiaceae.
UAGCCUCUCAUAUAUCUAAAAGAAAAGAAUAGGAUUUAAUCCUGAGAAUAAAUCCACAAAUAAUUCUUGUUUCAAUUUUCUCGCUUCAUUUUCUUCUUCCUCUUCUCUCAACGCUCCACCGUCUCCCCCACGACCUUCUCUUCAGGUUCCCGGUUUCCUUCACCUCAACAUGAUGGAAAAGUGAGAAGUUCCAUUUUAAUUGACACAUUUCUGUAUCUACUAUGGAUGCUACGGAAAGAGAAACCAAGUCUAGGAAUUCAGACUGUAUAUCUGUAGAGAACAACAAAUCAUCGGUUCAAAUAAAGUUAUUGUUCUUUGCUAGAGCUCGAGAUUUAACCGGUUUAAGUGAUUUGCCACUGGAAGUAUCAUAUGGUAGUACAACUGAAGAUUGCUUGAACAAGUUUGUUGCAAAGUUUCCAAGCUUGGAAGAGAUCUGUGGCUGCAUGGUUCUUGCUUUAAACGAGGAAUAUGCAAAUGACUCGAUUAUUGUUAAAGACAAAGCUGAAUUGGCCAUUAUCCCUCCUAUAAGUGGUGGCUAAUUAUUUGCAUUCAUAAGGAAAAUAGAAGAAUACAAAGUUGAUGACUAUAUAUAUUUAUUUUAUAUUCAAAAGAAAAACAAAUGACCUUAAAUAAUUUUAUUCUCUCGUCAGUGGAGUUAUUUUUUACACACUUCA